GCGGGUAUAGCUCAGCUGGCAGAGUGGAAGCUUCCCAAGCUUCAGGUCGCGGGUUCAAACCCCGUUGCCCGCU
Molecule: transfer RNA, 73 nt
Filed under: Mucispirillum sp.
Lineage: Bacteria; Pseudomonadati; Deferribacterota; Deferribacteres; Deferribacterales; Mucispirillaceae
Description: tRNA-Gly
Rfam family: tRNA
About the family: Transfer RNA (tRNA) molecules are approximately 80 nucleotides in length.
Source: RNAcentral